RNAcentral lists this ribosomal RNA (442 nucleotides) under uncultured bacterium. RNAcentral's name for it is "partial 16S ribosomal RNA". It matches the Rfam family "Bacterial small subunit ribosomal RNA", at positions 338 to 795 of the family's 1533-position model. The record is from RNAcentral.
CCUACGGGAGGCAGCAGUGGGGAAUAUUGGGCAAUGGGCGCAAGCCUGACCCAGCAACGCCGCGUGAAGGAAGAAGGCUUUCGGGUUGUAAACUUCUUUUAAGGGGGAAGAGCAGAAGACGGUACCCCUUGAAUAAGCCACGGCUAACUACGUGCCAGCAGCCGCGGUAAUACGUAGGUGGCAAGCGUUGUCCGGAUUUACUGGGUGUAAAGGGUGUGCAGCCGGAGAGACAAGUCAGAUGUGAAAUCCACGGGCUCAACCCGUGAACUGCAUUUGAAACUGUUUCCCUUGAGUGUCGGAGAGGUAGUCGGAAUUCCUGGUGUAGCGGUGAAAUGCGUAGAUAUAAGGAAGAACACCAGUGGCGAAGGCGGAUUACUGGACGAUAACUGACGGUGAGGCGCGAAAGCGUGGGGAGCAAACAGGAUUAGAUACCCCGGUAGUC